CCUACGGGAGGCUGCAGUGAGGGAUAUUGCACAAUGGGGGAAACCCUGAUGCAGCGACGCCGCGUGUGGGAAGACGGUCCUCUGGAUUGUAAACCACUGUCCCCAGGGACGAAGAUGCCGGUACCUGGGGAGGAAGCUCCGGCUAACUACGUGCCAGCAGCCGCGGUACUACGUAGGGAGCGAGCGUUGUCCGGAAUUACUGGGUGUAAAGGGAGCGUAGGCGGGGAUGCAAGUUGGGUGUCAAAACUACCGGCUCAACUGGUAGUCGCACUCAAAACUGCAGCUCUUGAGUGAAGUAGAGGAAGGAGGAAUUCCUAGUGUAGCGGUGAAAGGCGUAGAUAUGAGGAGGACCACCAGUGGCGAGGGCGGCCUGCGGGGCUUUUACUGACGCUGAGGCUCGAAAGUGUGGGGAGCAAACAGGAUUAGAUACCUGGUAGUC
RNAcentral lists this ribosomal RNA (439 nucleotides) under uncultured bacterium. RNAcentral's name for it is "partial 16S ribosomal RNA". It matches the Rfam family "Bacterial small subunit ribosomal RNA", at positions 338 to 795 of the family's 1533-position model. The record is from RNAcentral.